UUUUUUUUUUUUUAGUACGUUUGUUCCGUUUGGAACAGGCUAAGGUCGGAGACCAUGCUGCCUAGUCUUCAAAAAGAUAAAUUGUCUGGAAUUUUAUUUUUCUAAUGUCGCUUCAAUUAUUGUCAUAAUCUUCAAUAUUUCAUUUGUCAAAUCCGAUGCUGCAACGCUCAGAAUUCUUACAGAAUUUAGCUAAAUGUCCAUACCUCAAGCACCGGUAGCAUUGUUUAACUGGUGGUAUAUAUGGAGUGACAUUGUGGCGCCAACCUCCAAUAUCCAGAUAUUCAGGUAAUACAGAUGCAGCAAAAGUAAUUGUCACGGUUAGAGUUGGCUGUAACACAUAUCCAUGAGUCAAGGUAUUUUUUCUUAAAAUUCUUUUAAUAGCAAUAAUUUUCUUAGAACUCGAUAUCAUAGUAUAUAUUUUUUUAUUAGAUAUAUUUGUAGGUACAUUUCUAAUAACGCCUGUAACUUCUGUUGAAGAAGCAGGAAUACUGGCCUUAAAAUGGUAGUCAUUUAAAAAAGUUUUAUUAUUUAAAAAAGCAUUGGCUAAGUCUGGCUUUUGAAAGUAUACUCCGAUUUUGAAUUUAUUUAUAGAUCUAAGAUAAGUUACCCCUUUAUUAAAUCGUUUUAAACAGGAGGAGAGUGAGAGCAAGUCUCUGGAUCCAAUGGUUUUCUGACUAUCUGAGGAUUCUACAAAGACAACAAAUUCUGUCCCAGGGGAUUCCUCGGGAUAUCUUCUAAUAUAAUCUGUGACGUAGUAAGGUUUAUACUUAUCGGCCUUAUCAAUUUCAGAUUCUGAGUCAGUAGAAGUAUCUUCCGAAUAUAUAUCCUUGUCAUUACAAGGUUCAUGGUCUACAUCACCUGAAUCGUCAUCUUUUUUUUUCCUUUUUCUACAACUGCGCUUCCCCAUGAAUGCUAAUUAUAUUACUGUCGCUGAAUUUAGUGAAAAUAUAAUAUUUUAUUAAAUAAUAAGAAUUGAUAGAGAUAGUUUUAAUAAAUUAAUAAAAAAAAUUUAAAAAA
Galleria mellonella (greater wax moth) is the source of this 1017-nucleotide long non-coding RNA. RefSeq lists it as uncharacterized. The transcript has 2 exons. NCBI's taxonomy places the organism in Eukaryota, Metazoa, Arthropoda, Insecta, Lepidoptera, Pyralidae. The record is from RefSeq and is a predicted model, not a curated record.